Molecule: ribosomal RNA, 1349 nt
Filed under: uncultured marine eukaryote
Lineage: Eukaryota
Description: SSU rRNA
Rfam family: Eukaryotic small subunit ribosomal RNA
Source: RNAcentral
CACUUCUAAGGAAGGCAGCAGGCGCGCAAAUUACCCAAUCCUGACUCAGGGAGGUAGUGACAAGAAAUAACAAUAAACCGGCUUAUGCCGGUUUAAUUGGAAUGAGUACAAUUUAAACAUCUUAACGAGGAACAAUUGGAGGGCAAGUCUGGUGCCAGCAGCCGCGGUAAUUCCAGCUCCAAUAGCGUAUACUAAAGUUGUUGCAGUUAAAAAGCUCGUAGUUGGAUUUCUGUGGGGACGGAGCGGCCGGCCGCAACUCGCGGUUCGAGCUAGCGCUUUCCCUACAUCCUGCCGCGAACCGUGCUACCAUUAGUUUGGUGGCGCCGGGGAUCGGCUCGAUUACUUUGAGAAAAAUAGAGUGUUCAAAGCAGGCCACAUGCCUUGAAUAAGUUAGCAUGGAAUAAUAACUAAGGACUUCGGUUCUAUUUUGUUGGUGUUCGGGACUGAAGUAAUGAUUGAUAGGGACAGUUGGGGCGGUCUGUAUUCCAAAGCGAGAGGUGAAAUUCUUAGACCUUCGGAAGACAAACAGCUGCGAAAGCGUUCCGCAAGGAUGUUCCCUUUGAUCAAGAACGAAAGUUGGGGGAUCGAAGACGAUCAGAUACCGUCGUAGUCUCAACUAUAAACUAUACCAGCUAGGGAUCGGCCAACGUUAUUUUAUACCGACUUGGUCGGCACCUUAUGAGAAAUCAAAGCAUCUGGGUUCCGGGGGGAGUAUGGUCGCAAGGCUGAAACUUAAAGGAAUUGACGGAAGGGCACCACCAGCCGUGGAGCCUGUGGCUUAAUUUGACUCAACACGGGAAAACUUACCAGGUCCAGACAUAGUAAGGAUUGACAGAUUGAUAGCUCUUUCUUGAUUCUGUGGGUGGUGGUGCACGGCCGUUCUUAGUUGGUGGAGUGAUUUGUCUGGUUAAUUCCGUUAACGAACGAGACCCCAGCCUGCUAAAUAGCGCGCGUGAGCUUUGCUCGCGGCGAGCUUCUUAGAGGGACUCUGAUGCGCGAUAGCACAUGGAAGUUUGGGGCAAUAACAGGUCUGUGAUGCCCUUAGAUGUUCUGGGCCGCACACGGGCUACACUGGCGCCUGCAACGAGCAUAUCAGCUGGCCCGAGAGGGUCUUGGCUAAUCUUUUGAACCGGCGCCGUGCUUGGGAUUGACCUUUGCAAUUGUUGGUCAUGCAACGAGGAAUGCCUUGUAAACGCGAGUCAUCAGCUCGCAUUGAAUACGUCCCUGCCCUUUGUACACACCGCCCGUCGCUCCUACCGAUGAAUGUUCCGAUGAAAUUUUCGGAGAGCACCUGUGAACUUGGCUCUGCCUUGCGAACGGGAGGCUCAAAGUCACUUAAAUCUGAACAU